Molecule: small nuclear RNA, 102 nt
Organism: Sciurus carolinensis (gray squirrel)
Lineage: Eukaryota; Metazoa; Chordata; Mammalia; Rodentia; Sciuridae
Source: RefSeq, a predicted model, not a curated record
GUUGCUUCAGCGGCACAUAUACUAAAGCUGGAAUGAUACAGAAAGUAAGAGCAUGACCCUUGUGCAAGAUGAGAGCAAAUUUGUAAAGCAUUCCAUAUUUUA